Molecule: non-coding RNA, 133 nt
Organism: Fukomys damarensis (Damara mole-rat)
Lineage: Eukaryota; Metazoa; Chordata; Mammalia; Rodentia; Bathyergidae
Source: Ensembl
CUCCCCAGGGUCCUCCGCAGCCCGGCAACGGCAGUGCUUCCCUCACGUGAUCAGGCCCUGUGGUGGGCAGGGGUGCUUGCCCGGAGCCUGAGAUGACUAUGAAAACUGGGCAGGUGCAGUGCGGCCAGGGGAG